AUUCUGUAAUAGUGUUAUCCAGUCUGUUCAGCUCAAUGGGUGAGAGUAUAUUUAUUUAGGAGUUGGUCACAAGGACACAGUUUAUGUUGAGAAGCUGCCACUGAUCCUGUUUCAAGAGGGGAGUUCAAGCCUGUAACCCUGGUUCCCGGAGAGCCAACAUUCGGAAACUAUCAGCCUCAUUCGAGGCGGACAUUUUCCUCAUAUUACACUGAUAGCUGCUGCAGAGCUGAACAGUGGACAUUCCUUCAAUACAUAAGUUUUACCUAAAACACUGAUCACCGCAACAGCCCAACAAGUUACUGGAAUUGUAAUGUCAGGUAGUAACUCUGUCAGUAAAUGGAAUGCCAGUGGAAGCAGAAUUUAUAACUACAUCACUGGAAAAGGUUUUGUAAAAGGCUAGAACAAUUUGACAAUGUCAUUCUGGUGGCCAGCAGUGGCAGAAGAUUUGACUUUCCAGUUCUGAUGAAAGCAGUAGCUUGUUGUAAAGUUCGUGAGAGUUUUUUUUAAAUGUGUGUCUGGAUUUCUUGAUUCUCUAACAGAUUUAAGUAAACUUUUUCCUGGCACUUUCUCGUACAAACAAGAUCUUGUACAGAAACUUUUGAGUGGAAGUUAUGGAGAGUGAAAGCUAUGGAGCACAUAAUGCCAAGGAGGAUAUUAAAGCAUUAGGAAAUCUUUGAAAAUAUGUGUCAAUAUCGCCUAAAACAAUGCUUUCAUUUAAUUAUUCUCCAAAAUCUACAUCAGAUAUUCAGGCCUCAACCUAAAUCAUUUUGUAAAUAAUUGUCAAGCACAAGGGAGAAGAUGGGCUGAAGAACACGUACAUUGUUGAUAUAGUGAAGGACAACCAUGUGUUACAAACACAAAGAGGGCAUACUUUAGAGACAGUUACUCCAAACCUUAUGGAGUACUUAAAAAUUAUUUUAUUAUAUCUCAUUGCUUAUGCCCCAUAUUUUAAUUUUGAAAGAGUAAGAAAUGUUCAAAAAUGAUGUGUCUUGAUCUGUAUGUCAAGUUUUAUGCUUUGAUUUGGUUAUCUUUUUUGAACUAUUAGAACAUAUUAUUAUAUGUCAACAUUUUACUUUAUUAAAAGGAUUAUUACUACUAUAUUUAUUUUUAUGUACAAGUGUUACAUGCAUUUUUCAUUAGUAGAAGUAAAAAAAAAAUGGGAGUUCUUUGUUUUAAAAUCUUGUGAAUUUAAGUUUACAGUAUAAAGCUUUUGUUUAUAUUUUACCCCUACUCGAAAAGAAGGUAUUUUUAGAAAUUCAGAUGGUAAAAGUAGAUUUUCUUUAUGUAUUUGUUUCAUACAAUGAUACAGAUAAUUUGUAUGUAGUCAUUACACAUACAACACUUAUAACUUAAAAAAAAAAAGAAAUGUCGAGACCAGAAUUUUUUCCUGAAAAUUGCCAACUUUACGACUGAGGGUAUAAAAGAAAAGUAUUUCAAAUAAAUUCUUGUACAAAUGUAUGUCAUAAAUCUUUAUAUAUAUUUAUUCAACAUUGUUUUAGUAACUUACACUGAAACUGUUGUAUUUUGAUAAAUUUGAAAAAAAGUAUGUAGAAUUUAAGGUAGUUUAUUUCAUUUUUAAGUCAAAUUUGCAUAUAAGGAGUUAUGAUUUUAUAACUUUUUUUUUUAAUGGUUAAAAUCAUUUAAAAUCUUAAAAACUAUUCACCCAGGUGAUACAGAUAAUAAAAAUAAAAAGCUUGGUUAGAUUUGAAAUGUAACCAUUCAGGGCCCUAAAUCAUUCAUAAACUCAUCUAAAAAAUGUGUCUGUACACGAUGCUUCGUGGAACCUUUGUCACUGUUGUGUAAAGUGUAUUCCAACCUGCCCUUCCAUGUUUCUAGCUACUUGUGAACAAGUGGCAAAAUGAAAGUAAACUGUCCAGUCAGUUGUCUGAAAACUUUAAAUUACAUUUCUUGUUUUCAGUUUUUUUUGCUACAGUGCAUUUUAUAGUUUUAAAUUGUGCAAACUAUAGAGAAAAAAGAUUUUUGGCACACAAACUUUCAAGUAAAACAACAUUUAAAACAAAAAUUGCAUGUGUCAAGAGUAUAAACAUAUUUAAAAACUCUGUGAUAUUUGUCAGAAAUAACUGUUACAGAAGGAUGGAAGGACAGAAGGACGGACAGAGACCAUUCCUAUAACCCCCACCACUUGUGGCGGGGGAUUAAUAAAUCAACUUUCUAAGAAUCUUGAUGAAUGCCUAUACACCCAAAAAUGUCCCCUGUGCACCUUUUCAGUUGUUAAGUGUCUGAUUUCUUUUAUUUUUUAAAUAAAAUGGGUUUUUACUUUAUUUUCCUUGAAAGGGAGUUACAGUGGAUACAAAAGCAGCUUUCAACUUCACAUAUAACAGACUGUUAAACAUUCACAAAACCAAAAGUGAUGUUCCCUGUGCACCCUUUUUCAAAUUCAUCAAUUACCUUAGUAUUGCUGUAAUAUAUGGUGGCAGUUCUAUAUACUAAGCAAUGUGUAAACAAAAUUUAGGCUUUACUUGAUAAUAUAGCAUUAUUUAAGAAACCCUGGACAAUUUAAAAUUCAUUGUUUGCAUUUUUGCUGUAGUUGCCAAUUUUCAAGUUAAAAAGUGGAAAUAUCAGCUUUAUUGCUUCUUAAGCUGUCAAGUUCCCUUUCAAAUGUUAAUGUUCACUAGUGAAUAUUGUGUAGUUGAAAGAAUUUUUCCUAAGUAUAAACAUAUUCUAUAAAUAUAUUUUUGGUGCAGUUUGUCCCCUGUGCAUCUUCUCAGUAACAUUACAAAGUAUGUAUGAAUUUUACCAUGCAUGAUGUUUUGUCAUUUUUAGCUCAUCUGAUUUUUUGGAAAAAAAUGAUGAGUUAUUGUCAUCACUUGAGCGGUUGUCGGCGUCUGCGUCGGCGUUGCCUGGUUAAGUUUUAUGUUUAGGUCAGCUUUUCUCCUAAACUAUCAAAGCUAUUGCUUUGAAACUUGGAAUACUUGUUCACCACCAUAAGCUGACCCUGUAUAGCAAGAAACAUAACUCCAUCUUGCUUUUUGCAAGAUUUAUGGCCCCUUUUGUACUUAGAAAAUAUCGGAUUUCUUGGUUAAGUUUUAUGUUUAGGUCAACUUUUCUCCUAAACUAUCAAAGCUUUUGCUUUGAAACUUGGAAUACUUGUUCACCAUCAUAAGCAGACCCUGUACAUCAAGAAACAUAACUCCAUCUUGCUUUUUGCAAGAAUUAUUACCCCUUUGGGACUUAGAAAAUCAGUUUUCUUGGUUAAGUUUUAUGUUUAGGUCAGCUUUUAUCCUAAACUAUCAAAGCUAUUCCUUUAAAACUUUCAACACUUGUUCACCAUCAUAAGCUGACCCUGUACAGCAAGAAACAUAACUCCAUCCUGCUUUUUGCAAGAUUUAUGGCCCCUUUUGGACUUAGAAAUUAUCAGAUUUCUUGGUUAAGUUUUAUGUUUAGGUCAACUUUUUCUCUUAAACUAUCAAAGCUAUUGCUUUAAAACUUGCAACUCUUGUUCACCAUCAUAAGCUGACCCUGUACAGCAACCAACAUAACUCCAUCCUGCUUUUUGCAAUAAUUAUUGCCCCUUUUGGACUUAGAAAAAUCAUUUUCUUGGUUGAAUAUUAUGUUUAAGUCAACUUUUCUCAUAAACUAUCAAAGCUAUUGCUUUAAAACUUGCAACAGUUUUUCACCAUCAUAAGUGGACACUGUACAUCAAGAAACAUAACUCUAUCCUGUUUUUUGCAAGAGUGAUGGCCCUUUUUAGACUUAGAAAUCAUGGGUAGGACAAUAUUUCUAUUAUACAAACAAAAUCAGAUGAGCGUCAGCACCCGCAAGGCGGUGCUCUUGUUAUAUUUUGAAUAAGCAUUGCAUGUAAACCAAGUGAUUUCAAUGUAUUAGUUAUGUUUAAAGUCACUUAUUUUUCAUUUAAAACAUUACAUGCUGCUGCAUUUUCAUGUUUUUGUUGCAAAAAAAUUUCAGUUUUGUAGUUAUUUUGUGGAACGCACUAUUUGUUUAUAAGAAUUUGUCUUAAGUUGACCACCAAUAGCCUUUUUAUAAACAGAAAACUAAUUACAAAUGAAUACAAUGAUUUUCAAUAUGUGUCCCCUGUGCACCUGUAAAAUAACUCAGUUUUAAGAUGAUGAUUUUAGUACAUUCUUGAAAUUUGGCAUGCGGUUUAUGAACAUGCAAACUGCGAGAAAAAAAUAGGUUUUAUAAUAAUAUGUUAAUUAUUUUUCAUUGAGCAAUAACUUUUCUGGGUAGAAUUUUAUUUUCAUGUAAUAUUUAUGCAGAAAUGGUGAUUUUAAAAACCAGUGUCCACAAAUAUUUGAUAAAUUAAGUUUCAAACCACACACAUGUACCUGUUACGCAUCAUAAUAUGCUGAAAAAAUGACUGUUAUACAUAUUUCCUUGUCAUAAAAUAAUACAGCAUUUAUCACCCAUUUUACUGGAAAUUCACCAAACUUUCGAAUUAAAGGCUGAAAUAUUUUCUGACUGGUAUUUCUCAACACUUUCCCAAAGCUAUUUUCUUAAAAAUAUUUUCUGACUGGUAUUUCUCAACACUUUCCCAAAGCUAUUUUCUUAAAAUUUGAAGUAUUUGCUAUCAUAUAAAAUAGGUGACUGUGACCACCAUAAGAAAUAGGUUUGAUUUUUCAACCCCUAUGUCACACUUUUUUUGAAAACCACCAUAAUGUCACUUUAUCCAAAGAAAACAAAAUGCAUGGUUUUGUUUACUAAACAAAAAGUAACAACUGUAAAGAACUAUUUUUAUUUCCAAGCAAGUAACAUAAAAUGUCAAGGUGCAAAAAUUGUGGUGUUUAUAUAGACAACACAUUGUUGUGUAAUGUUCAAAUUGAAACAGUUUGCACUAAACUUGAUUCAAAAGUAGCAUUGUUGAGAUGUAUAAUAUUGUAAUAUAUGACAUACUGUAAAAUCAUUUAAUUUCGUGGGCAUGAAAUUUCGUGGUUUUGGCCAAAACCACAAUUUUAUAGGGAUAUGAAUUCUGGGAUUUCAACUUUCGAACAUAAAAUGAAUGGGAAAUAUACUUGUUCGCUGGGAUUAAAUCUCGUGGAUUGACUCAACCACGAAAAUUAGUCCCCCACAAAUAUUAAUGAUUUCAUAGUAUGAAAUGGAAAAAAAUACUCUAUAAUGUAUAUGUAAUGUCAUUAUUUGACUAUUGCAAAAUUGUUGCAAGCUUUGCAAAAAAGGAACAUUUUAUUCAAAAUAAUUUUUUGCAGCUCUACCUUAAAUUUUCAUUAUUUUCUAUAAAGAACUCUUAUUUUCUUGACACCAUACAUCUCUGAAAUGUUACCCUUUUUCAGCAAUGAAACAUACAAUCUAAGAUCCGCUGCUCAUAAUGACAUAGUUGUACCUUAUUAACAUCAUACAAAUUAUGGUAAAAAAAACCUUUUGUUAUAAUGGUGCAAAUGUUUGGUCCAAAUAAGGUAAACUGGUGUUCUUUAGUAAAAAAAACUUAUGUACUCUUGGUUUUUAUGUUGUAUGGUUACAACAAAGUGUUGGUGAUAUUGGUAUGUUUCUAUCGGUAGUUAAAGGUUACACAAUCAGUUCAGUCAAAAUUGGCACAAGAGAUUAGGAAACUCUAGUAGAGCAUUAUUUUACAGAAAUAUUUCAAAUUUUAGGUUCCAGCCAUACUUAGAAUAUAUUACAAACAAUAGAUUUUGUCAGUCAUUAGUGAGAUUAAGAGUUUCUUCUCAUAGAUUACAAAUAGAAGCAGGGCAUGUAGACUUAUUAAAUGAUGAAAACAAAAUGAUUGUAAGAAAGCUUGGAACAUUCAUAUACAAUGCUUUUAAGAAAUGCAAUGAAGUGUUAUAUGGUAAUCAUUAAUGAUAUAUUAUGCAAUGUUAUUAUACCCAAAAAUAUAAAUGAAUUGUCUAGAAAAGUCCUUGGUAACAAAACCAUAGUGCUGUGAAUAAGAAUAUCAAUAUAAAUAAUGAUUCUGAUAAUUUGCACUUUUUGAUUGUUUAUUUUUCUCAUAGCAUAUUUCUAUAUAUUCUUGCAUGAUGUAAAUACAUGCAGUUCUAUUCCAGCCAGUCACCUUUCUUUUAAGGUGACGCACAACUGGAAUGUUACAGACAUUUGAUUGUGUUAUAUAAUGUAUAGUUGUAUGUACAUGUAUGAAAAUGACAAUGAAAGCUAGAGAUUGCUUUCAGCUGUAUAGAACCUUCUCCAUUGGGACAAACUAUAUAAUUAUGAUAUUUCCUUAUUUGUGUUAUAUGUAUACAUAGUCAAUAUUGGUGUAUUGCUGUUACUAUUCACCAUAAAAUUUUGUACUUGUAUGCCUCAUGGGCUUCUUAGCCUAAUGGAUUUAUAUGAAAUAAAACUGUAAACAUCAAAUAUAGAAUCUUAACAUUUCUAAGCAGCGAAUAUUAAAGACAAGGUACAUAGUGGAAUUAUAGAGAUAUAGCAAGACUUACGAAGGGAAGUCGGACGUAAUAUUUGUGCAUACAUGACGGAGCAGAUUUUGUUUGAAUUUGCAUUGUUUUAAGCCUGUUAAUGGCUGUUUCAGAUAAGUAUACUGAUCUUUAAUUAAAAAUGUUUUGAAUGUUUUUGUUUGGAAUUCAAUACCAAAUGAAAUUUGCUCAACAUGUUUUCUUGCAUCUUUUAAAAAGAAAUAUAAAAAGUGUACUUGCAUUUCACUGCCUAAAGAAUCUCUUUGUUUAUAUCAGCUGAAUAACAACUAUGCCAUUAUAAUAUAAUUAUGCAUGUAUAUAUUAUGUCACUAAUUGAUUGCCUAAAUGGAAAUUGUAUAAAUGGACACUUAAAGGUAAUAUCUAUUUUAAGGGGUAUUUGUAUAAGAAUGAAUGUGAUAUUAAUUAGCAUAUGUGAUAGUGUAAAUUUUAUUUGGUUUUUGUUGUUGUUGUUCAGAAGGCCACAUUUAAUAGUAAGAAGUACCAUUUGUACUUUUCACUAAUCUUUAUCUUUAUUUGCUACCUUCUAUAGAUAAAGAUUUUAAAGUUCUCCGCGUUAUGUAGUAUAGAGGAGAACAGUGUUGUCUUGACACGGUAUAUCACAAAUCGCGCCAGCGUUGUAUAAGGGAUUAUAAAUAUUGGUGAGCGAUUUUGGUGUGUUGAAAAUCAGUUGUCCGCUAAGCUUCGAGUUGUCAACACUUUGUUUCGUAAGUAACACGUCAGCAGAGUUAUUCAAGUUCAAAAUAUAGGUAUUAAAGUUGUUCAAAGUAAACUUUACAAUGUUCAGAUUUAGUUUGAAAUAUGUAACGUACUACAUUUUUAAAGUACAGACUGUAAAUAAGCAGUUUAGAGCAGAAUUUUAGAGAAUCAUGUUUUUGUAUGUUCACGAUGUACCGUAGAGAUGAGAAUAUCCCGACAUCCUUUGUCCGGAGAACAGCUUUGCAUUUGCCACGGGUACAGGUUUCUUCUACGGGAGUUUUUUCUGUGCGGCAUUGUUGUUUCAUUGAUGGACAAGUUUGGUACAAUCGUUUACAACUUUUCAAUACAAAAACAGGAGUUAGCUUAAAGUUCAAAUUAUUAAUGACACUUGGUUAAAUACUGGCGUAAAUUAUUUAGCAUGUAGCUAUAUACAUUUGUAUUUUGUAAAAAAUACGAGGAAAAGUUACAAUUUGUAGGUAUUAAAAGGAAUGUAAAUAGUAAUAUAUACUUAUAUUAACUUACAACUAUAUAUGUUUUACGAAAUUAGUAUUUAAUGUUUUGUGCAUUGAUAUCCUGCUCGGCAAACGAAAUAAAUCUCAUGCUUAGCUCAUUGCAAAAAGUAUUUUGUUAUUUGUGAGGUAUGGUGUCAAGACAUUAUUAUAACAGAAGACAAUCCACAUUUUGUCUAGGGUUUUCUUUGGCUGCUUACUUAUUCCUUAAAAUGUAAUAUUAUUCUGUCAAGCAUUUUAGGGUGUGUGUCAUAAAAUGUGUUUCGCAUUGUUUCAAGUAUUUAUUCUGUAUGCAUCUCAAAUACACAUCAGGUUGCAACAUUUAAGGGUAUUCUUACUAAACUAAACAUAAAGCAUGCCUCUCACCUCACUAAAACUUUAGCACUCCAACAAAACCAAAAUUCCGGAUCUGCCCCUGAAAAUUACAAACUUUGCGGCAGCUAGUUUUCACGUAUAAUAACCUGUGUUUCAACUUCAUUACAAGAGCAAUGUUUAAUUUUAGUCAAUUUCUAAAUCUAAAGAAAGUAUUUAAUUUUUUGUUCAUAGUGUGUUUUUCAGUACUGAGUAGUUCAAUAAAAUCUAAUGGAAGAUGUUCAUAGUCAAAGAAAAAAUAUUUGUGAAAUUUUAGAGGGUAAUGUUCUGAAUUACUUAUCACAGCCAGAAGUCAAGAAUUUAAUUAUUGAUUUUUUUAAAAACUUUUUCUACAGCUUGAAGGGAAAUGCUUCAAGAUCUAUUUUCUACUUUGCUGAAAUCUGGACAUCUAUUUGUCAGUUGUGUUUCAAGUGUCAUAGAUGAUGGAAAUUAAAAAUAGGUCCUGUUUUGCCAAAUAUAAAAUUAAUGCUCAUUAACUAGAAAUAGAAGUAGGCAGAUACAGUAAAACUCCUUUGGAAAACAGGUCAUGUAGGUAAUAAAAUAUGAAUGUUUUGGUUUUGUUAUAUUGUGGCUUGAAACUUUUAAGAAGUAAAAUCAAUUGUUCUUGAAACUUGUUUUACUUUAUGCUCUCGUGAUGCAAAUAGUAUAUUGUCCUCGUGUUUUGUCUAUGAGAUUUCUGUAAGUAAACUUUAAACAUUA
Mercenaria mercenaria is the source of this 8653-nucleotide long non-coding RNA. RefSeq lists it as uncharacterized. The transcript is spliced from 2 exons. The record is from RefSeq and is a predicted model, not a curated record. Lineage: Eukaryota; Metazoa; Mollusca; Bivalvia; Venerida; Veneridae.